UACGGAGGGUGCAAGCGUUGUCCGGAUUUAUUGGGUUUAAAGGGUGCGUAGGCGGCCCGUUAAGUCAGCGGUGAAAUCCCGGGGCUCAACCCCGGAACUGCCGUUGAUACUGGCGGGCUUGAGUUCGGUGAAGGCGGGCGGAACUGGCGGUGUAGCGGUGAAAUGCUUAGAUACCGCCAAGAACCCCGAUUGCGUAGGCAGCUCGCUGUGCCGAAAAUGACGCUGAGGCACGAAAGCGUGGGGAGCGAACAGG
This 253-nucleotide ribosomal RNA is filed under the name uncultured bacterium. RNAcentral's name for it is "partial 16S ribosomal RNA". It matches the Rfam family "Bacterial small subunit ribosomal RNA", at positions 524 to 776 of the family's 1533-position model. The record is from RNAcentral.